RNAcentral lists this long non-coding RNA (359 nucleotides) under Dermacentor andersoni. Its description in RNAcentral is "uncharacterized LOC126531481". Lineage: Eukaryota; Metazoa; Arthropoda; Arachnida; Ixodida; Ixodidae. The record is from RNAcentral.
UGCUCAGACUAGUGAAUGAAUAAAAAAUUAAUCUAUUCUUAUAACCUCUAUGAUAUGCAUCAUCCCGAGUAAAUAAAACAGGUGAAUGUCAACGACAGUUAUUGUUUGCUAUAUGCAAUCCCCAGCAUAAAUGUUCUGACAGGCGAAAGAUUCACUAGAAGCAUUUAGACUACAGCUGUGCGCUAACAAAACUGUGAAGCUUAUGAUGGAAAUGCAUAAAUACCUAUGGCUUACCUGGUUGAAAUUUUUAAAUAGAAAUUCCUUGUAUAUUGCAUCACGGUCUUUGACUUGUGUCCAGCCAGCAUCAAGCAGGGGUGUGAGGCUGGUCUUCCUCUCUUCAUCGUUAAGCUUUGCCCUCU